GCCAGGUGCGGUGUGUGUGCCUAUAGUCCCAGCUACUCGGGAGGCUGAGGUGGGAGGAUCGCUUGAGCCCGGGAAUUCUGGGCUGUAGUGCGCUAUGCCAAUCGGAUGUCCACACUAAGUUCGGCAUCAAUAUGGUGACCUCCUGGGAGCAGGGGACCACCAGGUUGCCUAAGGAUGGGUGAACAGGCCCAGGUCGGAAACGGAGCAGGUCAAAAUUCCCGUGCUGAUCAGUAGUGGGAUUGCACCUGUGAAUAGCCACUGCACUCCAGCCUGGGCAACAUAGCAAGACCCUGUCUCA
Molecule: signal recognition particle RNA, 298 nt
Filed under: Aotus nancymaae (Ma's night monkey)
Lineage: Eukaryota; Metazoa; Chordata; Mammalia; Primates; Aotidae
Description: Metazoan signal recognition particle RNA (ENSANAG00000009816.1)
Rfam family: Metazoan signal recognition particle RNA
About the family: The signal recognition particle (SRP) is a universally conserved ribonucleoprotein. It is involved in the co-translational targeting of proteins to membranes.
Source: RNAcentral